Molecule: transfer RNA, 75 nt
Filed under: Marmota monax (woodchuck)
Lineage: Eukaryota; Metazoa; Chordata; Mammalia; Rodentia; Sciuridae
Description: tRNA.Ala
Rfam family: tRNA
About the family: Transfer RNA (tRNA) molecules are approximately 80 nucleotides in length. Their secondary structure includes four short double-helical elements and three loops (D, anti-codon, and T loops).
Source: RNAcentral
GGGGUUGUGGCUCAGUGGUAGAGUGCUCACCUAGCACGUGUGUACGAGGCCCUGGGUUCGAUCCUCAGCACCACA